GUAGCAAUUAACCCUUUGUCAAAAGUCUAUUUAUUAACUGAAGUUACAGAACUAGAAGUCACACCACGGUUCUAAGCUUAGUGAAUGAAUAGAUGGAAAUACUAUACUCAUGAAAUGCAAAGCCAUCUUUUUUAGGCUUAAUAAACUAAGUAGACAUAAACACUUUUUAUGUCUACAACUGAUUGGACAUGAUUUGGAAAGGCACACAUCUGUCAAUAUAAGGUUCCACAUGUUUAAAUGCAUAGGUAAACAAAACCCGAGCCAUAAGGUCAAAGCUUAGAGACAGG
Non-coding RNA from Pelobates cultripes (western spadefoot toad), 287 nucleotides. Lineage: Eukaryota; Metazoa; Chordata; Amphibia; Anura; Pelobatidae. The record is from the annotation of a GenBank genome assembly.